GAAGGCGCAUCCCUUUAGAGCG
RNAcentral lists this microRNA (22 nucleotides) under Pongo pygmaeus (Bornean orangutan). RNAcentral describes it as "ppy-miR-525-3p". Its record names the gene ppy-miR-525-3p. RNAcentral also lists the same sequence under 1 other name. Lineage: Eukaryota; Metazoa; Chordata; Mammalia; Primates; Hominidae. The record is from miRBase by way of RNAcentral.